GGGAGGGAGGGAGGAGGGGGAGGGAGCCCCAGCGCCGGAGGCCAGGAGGAGGCGGAGGCAGCGGACGAGCGGCCCAGCCGUGUUUACAUCGCCGCCGCCCCGGCCUAGGCGGCGGGGAAAGGGAACGGGGCCGAACCGUGCCGCCCCCGGGCCGCCCCGGCGAAGUUGUGCGGCCGCGGCCCAAAGUUGCGCUAAUUGUGGCACCGCGCCGCCACCGCCGGCACCUACACCCCCCCCUCCCCGCCCCGCCCCGCCCCGGCCCACGCGGCCAAUCGCCGCCUCCGCGGCGCUGCACGUGACCUUUGUUGACUUACGUCAGUCAUAGCGCUCCGCCGCCGCCGCCGCGAUACGGAUCGGUGGCCGCUCGCCGCCAGCCCCCCUCGCCUCAUUGGCUGGCGGCUGCGGGAGGGGGCGGGCCCGCGGGUAUCUGCGGCUCGCGAGAGGGCGAGCGGGCUGUCAAUCAGAGGAGUGCACCUUUAAAAGCGGAGGACGAGGAGGAGGGGGCUUUCGGGAGCGAGGCGGGAGGAGUUGCGUAACGGGGGCACCGGGCUGGGGGCGCGCACGGCGCGGAGGGAGCGGCCGGAGCGGCCCUCGCUAUCGCCCCGGGGCCCCGCUAACGCCUGAGGGGUGGGGGCCGCACCGUGCUGCGCUCUCGCUCUCGUUUGGCUCGGCGGCGGGGCGUGGCCGCCUUGGCACAGGCGGCCGGUAAUGGCUUCCCGGAGCGGGGAGCGGGCACGGCGCUGCCUCCGGGCGGCAGCGGGCAGAGGAAGGGCGCCUCAGCCCGGCCGCGGCCGCCCCCCGUGGCGCGGCGGGGCGGGGACUCUUCCCCUGCCGCCCCUUCCCGCCGGUUGGGGAGGGACAGAGGGGUGGCGGCCGUUGGUCGGCCGCCGCCCCGCCAACGGACGAGCGCGUGGCGAGGCGUGCAGCGCGCGCGGACGGCGGGGGGCGGGGCCUGGGGGGGGCGGUGGCUCUGCUUCGCGCCGCCCCUCCGCGGGCCUCCGUGACAGGUGGAGCGGCGCCCGCCGGCCGUCACGUGACGGGGGGGGGGGUGCGCCGCCCGUUGGGCUUCCUCCCCUCAGAGGAGGGCCUGCCCGUUUAACGGCUGCCCGCCGUGCUUCGGCACGGCUAUCAGCUGCCCUCCGGAACUGGGUCAAUAAGGUGUACCAGUUCCCUGGGAGGACAGUGACAAGACAGCAGCAAUCUCAGAUGUGUGUGGCAGGGUAUGCAUGGUGAAAAACAGCGAGGAGAGAAAGAAAGCUAACCAGAAGAAGCCUCAAGAUGCCAUUUUGUGUCUUAUAAAAUAUAAAUCCAACACUCAUGUUAUUGCUACCUUGCCAGAUUUUAGUCGAGCUGCCUGAAAUAUGUGACUACUGGGCAUAUGAGGGAAAGCAGCAUAAACUGAUAUGACCUGACAAUAGGUUAGUCAGGGGAGAAGACAGUCUCUUUUAUUUACCCUUCCAUAUUCAUUAGUAGGUUUUUUUGGUAUCUUUUUUCUUAGCUGCUUUUUACUUCACUCACCCCAGUGUAAAGUCAGGCCAAGCUGUUAGACUCAAGUUACUAAAUUACAUUCUUGAAAUCAGGAAUAUAAAAUAAAAUAAAAUAAAAAUAAAAUUAAAAAAAAAAA
This 1624-nucleotide long non-coding RNA is filed under the name Anser brachyrhynchus (Pink-footed goose). RNAcentral's name for it is "lncRNA (ENSABRG00000010579.1)". The record is from RNAcentral. Lineage: Eukaryota; Metazoa; Chordata; Aves; Anseriformes; Anatidae.